This 72-nucleotide transfer RNA is filed under the name Ovis aries (sheep). It matches the Rfam family "tRNA". From Rfam's summary of the family: Transfer RNA (tRNA) molecules are approximately 80 nucleotides in length. Their secondary structure includes four short double-helical elements and three loops (D, anti-codon, and T loops). Lineage: Eukaryota; Metazoa; Chordata; Mammalia; Artiodactyla; Bovidae. The record is from Rfam by way of RNAcentral.
UCCCUGGUGGCUCAGACAGUAAAGAAUCUGCUUGCAAUGCAGGAGACCUGGGUUCGAUUCCUGGGUGGGGAA